GUCCCGAGCGUUAUCCGGAUUUAUUGGGCGUAAAGCGAGUGCAGGCGGUUCAAUAAGUCUGAUGUGAAAGCCUUCGGCUCAACCGGGGAAUUGCAUCAGAAACUGUUGAACUUGAGUGCAGAAGAGGAGAGUGGAACUCCAUGUGUAGCGGUGGAAUGCGUAGAUAUAUGGAAGAACACCAGUGGCGAAAGCGGCUCUCUGGUCUGUAACUGACGCUGAGGCUCGAAAGCAUGGGUAGCGAAC
This 243-nucleotide ribosomal RNA is filed under the name uncultured bacterium. RNAcentral describes it as "partial 16S ribosomal RNA". It matches the Rfam family "Bacterial small subunit ribosomal RNA", at positions 531 to 773 of the family's 1533-position model. The record is from RNAcentral.